UAUAGAUCAAACAUAUACAAUUACUUCCACUCAAUAUGACACACCUGUCCCAAAUCAUUCUAAUUGACCAGGAACGUGACAUUUACUGAUGAUAGAUGCUAACUAGAUGCUAAAUCCACUACCAAGGCGAACUAUUAGUUAUUACUAAAUAUUCGCUAUAUAAUAUGCUUAUGACAAAAAAAAUAAUACAAUGGGCCCAAAAUAAUUAUUUUUUGCUUUAUUAAAAUGAAUCGUAUCACUCAAUAUGUCGUACUUGUAAGGAAAAUUGUAAAAAAAAAAAAAAAUGAGUUGAUGGCUCAAUGAGUAGAAAUUUUUUAAAAUAAUUAUACUUUCUCAUUUAUACAAUUUUAUCCAAAAUUGAGUUUACUUCAUUUAACAGUUCAAAGUAUAACAUAUAAUAAUAAACAAGAUGUCAGACACCUCAUAACGCCAAAAAAUAUCAUCUUAUAGUCAUGAUAUAAUGAUUAACUCAAAUCCAUAUCAUCAUCUUACCACAUUAGAUAUAAUCCACUAAAAAUGUACCAUUUGACUGAUAUGUAUAAUCCGCCCUUUAGGCUAUGAAUUUUGGCCAUGGGCCUUUGACCUUCUCUGCGAAUGAAAACAAGUCUCAAAGACCUCUAUUAAUCAAUUAUAGAAUACGGUCAAUGCCCUUAAGUGAACUAUAUGCACACAAUCAAGAUCAAUUUUCAGUUAAGACCCUUUUGUGUCAGAUAGAACACGGCCAAAAGCCCUCUGUAAAUUAGAAAAGGUAUAUAAUCACGAUUCCUUUCUGAUUGAUCUCAAUAACACAUCUCACAUUCCAAUUUACAAUUAAUCCAAUACAAUCUUGAAUUCCAUAUUUAUCAUAGUGAAAGAAAAUUUCCAUGUUAAUCAUGUAAUUGGACAAAUAAUUAACGUAAUCGUACAUAAUAUAAUAAUAUAAGUACUUUAUCAAUAUUAGAAAAUAUACAAGUUUUUCCACUGACCAAGUUAAAGAACGAUGACAACUUCAAUCUUCUCGUCACCUUUCAUUCAAAUACUAAGUAUGAGAUCAUGCACUCGCGCCCCAUAAGAUCACAUCUCUUCACAGAGGUGCCUCGAGCUGUUUUCCUACGAUUGAAAUAAGGAUUUGCUAAUAGGAACUUAAUGUCUUUAUUUUCAAUAUCAUAAUCCCAAUUAGGAUCAUUAUUACCAUAUACUCUUUUAUAUAAGUUAUUUUAACGCAUAAUCCCCAGUAUUUAUCACUUAAUUUUGUUUUCAUUAUAAAAUAUCCAAGAAAAUUAGAAUAUUAACAAAAUAGCAUUAUACUUCUGGAUUACUGAAAAUAUGGCAUCUAUUUCUGUAUAUUGAACCCUGUCGCUAAAUCAUUAACAAAAAUAGCACUUUCCUAGACAGAAUUUCGGAAGCAACACCUGCAUACUAAACUUUCUCGAAAAUAACUUAAAAUUGCUUUAACAAUGGAUAAAUCAAACCUCAAAUCCUUGAAUUAAGUGUUUUACACCACAAAAUCACAAGAAAAUCAAAUAAUACGUCUUCAUCUCAUAAACCAUUCUCAAAUUUCACCAAUUUUCAAUUUUUUACUAUAUUAUCAUUUAAAACCUCAACUACAUGCCAAUAACACUUACUACUUGCUAAACUUCGAAUUUAAGCAAAAUUUUCUUCAACCCUAAAAAAAAUAAUUCAAUAUUCUUUUACUUACAUCUCUCAAUCAAAGGAAAAAUUUAAGAAUUGAGAACCUAAGCUUGAAAAUCGGAACCUACCUCUUCCUUCUUUCUUUUUUUUCUCUUCUUUCUUCCUUUCUCCCUUCUUCUCUAUGGUUUCGUCUCUACUUUCAG
Molecule: long non-coding RNA, 1814 nt
Filed under: Olea europaea subsp. europaea
Lineage: Eukaryota; Viridiplantae; Streptophyta; Magnoliopsida; Lamiales; Oleaceae
Source: RNAcentral